AACGAACGCUGGCGGCAUGCCUAACACAUGCAAGUCGAACGAGACCUUCGGGUCUAGUGGCGCCCGGGUGCGUAACGCGUGGGAACCUGCCCUUAGGUUCGGAAUAACUCCCCGACAGGGGUGCUAAUACCGGAUAAUGUCUUCGGACCAAAGAUUUAUCGCCUUUGGAUGGGCCCGCGUUGGAUUAGCUAGUUGGUAGGGUAAAAGCCUACGAAGGCGACGAUCCAUAACUGGUCUGAGAGGAUGAUCAGCCACACUGGGACUGAGACACGGCCCAGACUCCUACGGGAGGGAGCAGUGGGGAAUAGUGGAAAGUGGGCGAAAGCAUGAUCCAGCAAGGCCGGGUGAGUGAUGAAGGCAGUAGGGUUGUAAAGCGCUUUUAACCGGGAUGAUAUUGACAGUACCGGGAGAAUAAGCCCCGGCUAACUACGUG
This 433-nucleotide ribosomal RNA is filed under the name uncultured bacterium. RNAcentral's name for it is "partial 16S ribosomal RNA". It matches the Rfam family "Bacterial small subunit ribosomal RNA", at positions 29 to 507 of the family's 1533-position model. The record is from RNAcentral.